GGAAGGAUCAUUACAGAGUUCAUGCCCUUCGGGGUAGACCUCCCACCCUUUGUAUACAUUGCCUUUGUUGCUUUGGCGGGCCGCCUUUUGGCCACCGGCUCCGGCUGGUGCGCGCCCGCCAGAGAACCCAAACCCUGUUUUACAGUGUCGUCCGAGUACUAUAUAAUAGUUAAAACUUUCAACAACGGAUCUCUUGGUUCUGGCAUCGAUGAAGAACGCAGCGAAAUGCGAUAAUUAAUGUGAAUUGCAGAAUUUAGUGAAUCAUCGAAUCUUUGAACGCACAUUGCGCCCCUUGGUAUUCCGGGGGGCAUGCCUGUUCGAGCGUCAUUUCAACCCUCAAGCUCUGCUUGGUCUUGGGCCGCGCCGGCAACGGCGGGCCUCAAAAACAGUGGCGGCGCCAUCGUGUCCCUCAGCGUAGUAAUUCUUCUCGCUGUUGGGCCCCGGUGGCCGCUUGCCAGCAACCCCCAAUUUUUCUAUGGUUGACCUCGGAUCAGGUAGGGAUACCCGCUGAACUUAAGCAUAUCAAUAAGCGGAGGAAAAGAAACCAACAGGGAUUGCCUCAGUAACGGCGAGUGAAGCGGCAACAGCUCAAAUUUGAAAUCUGGCCCUUUCAGGGUCCGAGUUGUAAUUUGUAGAAGAUGCUUUGGGUGUGGCUCCGGUCUAAGUUCCUUGGAACAGGACGUCAUAGAGGGUGAGAAUCCCGUAUGUGACUGGCUGCCUCCGCCCGUGUAAAGCUCUUUCGACGAGUCGAGUUGUUUGGGAAUGCAGCUCAAAAUGGGUGGUAAAUUUCAUCUAAAGCUAAAUAUUGGCCAGAGACCGAUAGCGCACAAGUAGAGUGAUCGAAAGAUGAAAAGCACUUUGGAAAGAGAGUUAAACAGUACGUGAAAUUGUUGAAAGGGAAGCGCUUGCAAUCAGACUUGCGCGCGGCCGAUCAUCCGGGGUUCUCCCCGGUGCACUCGGCCGCGCUCAGGCCAGCAUCGGUUUCGGUGGUGGGAUAAAGGCCUUGGGAAUGUAGCUCCUCUCGGGGAGUGUUAUAGCCCUCGGUGCAAUGCCGCCUAUCGGGACCGAGGACCGCGCUUCGGCUAGGAUGCUGGCGUAAUGGUUGCAAGCGACCCGUCUUGAAACACGGACCAAGGAGUCUAACAUUUAUGCGAGUGUUUGGGUGUUAAACCCAUACGCGGAAUGAAAGUGAACGGAGGUGAGAACCCUUAAGGGUGCAUCAUCGACCGAUCCUGAUGUCUUCGGAUGGAUUUGAGUAAGAGCAUAACUGUUGGGACCCGAAAGAUGGUUUUUGAACUAUGCCUGAAUAGGGUGAAGCCAGAGGAAACUCUGGUGGAGGCUCGCAGCGGUUCUGACGUGCAAAUCGAUCGUCAAAUUUGGGUAUAGGGGCGAAAGACUAAUCGAACCAUCUAGUAGCUGGUUCCUGC
RNAcentral lists this unclassified non-coding RNA (1427 nucleotides) under uncultured fungus. Its description in RNAcentral is "sequence contains 18S rRNA gene, ITS1, 5.8S rRNA gene, ITS2, 28S rRNA gene". The stretch from base 481 to 1427 matches the Rfam family "Eukaryotic large subunit ribosomal RNA", at positions 1 to 961 of the family's 3401-position model. The record is from RNAcentral. Lineage: Eukaryota; Fungi.